UGUCUAUGACUACGAUUUUAUAAACAUACGUCUACUCUAUUAUACUCAAGAUAUUUUACAUCUAAUAGAUUAGAUAAUUAUACUCCUUAAACUAUUGAAAUCUACAUUACACUCAAGAUCUAGCACAAUGUUGUCUUAUAAUCAAAUAUUUCAGCUGGUCAAUAUCCUUGACAUCGUGAUGACCAUUUUAAAAGCAGUGUAUGUAUGUGCACAGUCACAGUGGUAAUCUGUUCUGUCCAAAAUGGCUCCAACAUGACGACAGCUCACAAAGAUGUACUCAUUAAACUUCUGUUGACUGUCAAGAAAUGUAUAACAAUAAAAAAAAAUUGGGCAUGAAACUAAAAACCAAAUGUCAGAACCGAAACAGAUUCAAGCAACAAGUGUUAGAGGCUUCUGACAAAACACAACAAGAACAAAAUAGCAUGUAUCUCAAGUGUUGAGCUCUCAAGGAAACUUAGAUAUGUAGUAUUGUAAUAUCAAGUUGUACUACUAAUAAAGAUUUCAAAAAUUGAAUAAAAACUGAGUUCAUCUGACCGAAAA
This is a long non-coding RNA of Biomphalaria glabrata, 540 nucleotides long. RefSeq lists it as uncharacterized. Lineage: Eukaryota; Metazoa; Mollusca; Gastropoda; Planorbidae. The transcript has 2 exons. The record is from RefSeq and is a predicted model, not a curated record.